AAGGGACUACGUUUACGUCCUGGACUAUGUGUCUACGGGCCCAGAGAGGAGACAGUGGGUGAGGCCUGUCCCUUCUAAAGCACCCUGUGUCCAGGGCAGAACUAGGUCAACAGAGACCGCUGGUUGAGAUGAAUGACUGUUCCUGCCCUGCGUUGAGCCGGUUGAACACACUUGGCCAGCGCUUAAUCCAGUGGGAUCUGCACAAGCUGGGGCACAGUACGGCGACUAGAUCACUCCUAUCAUCAUGAAUGAGCAACGCAUCCAACAGUAGAAGAAGCUUUGACUGCUUUAUUACCAAACUAACUAGCAGCCAGGACAGCAAAUACAGUAAAUCUCUGGCACAAACUUUACAGAGGGAUUUUGGCAAUGGAUUAUCUGUGAGAUCGUGGUGAUUGCUCACACCACAAAGAGUACAUAUGGAAAUCUUUGGUCAUUCUGACCGACUGAGUUCACAAAGAUACUCAUCUGAGUGGUUUUGUCUGUAUCUUUGCUACAUGAGACAUUGUCUGAAUCUGAUUCAUGUAAAACCUGCUGACCUCUGCUUCACAUGCUUUCCUUGUGUGUCCUCCUCUGGCGUGUGCCUAGGUCAUUUGCAUUCAGCCAAUAACCUUCAAUUUAUCAUAGUAUGAACACGUGUGCUCUCUCACACAGGCACACAUGGACGGCUUGAGGCAGACCAUCCAUUCUCAUUAGUACCCUGUUGCAGUCGGCUGACGGUAAACUGAGUGUGUGCCAAAGUCAUAAACUUACACACCCCCUCCCGCCAUUACCUCAUGAUUAUGAUAUCACACAAGUGUCUCAUAGUGAUGACAUCACACCACCAGAUUUGCGGUCUGGCCAAGUGUAAGUACAUUACACUUGGCCAGUUCAUGCCAAGACCCUUAUCCCUGAUAAGCCAAGGACAAAAUGUAGACUGUGAGACUGGGGUCCAGUCUGGAGGGUAAUUACCAAUUUUACUAUUGAGAUGAAAGCAUCUGGUUGAGCUAUU
This is a long non-coding RNA of Micropterus dolomieu (smallmouth bass), 988 nucleotides long. RefSeq lists it as uncharacterized. The record is from RefSeq and is a predicted model, not a curated record. NCBI's taxonomy places the organism in Eukaryota, Metazoa, Chordata, Actinopteri, Centrarchiformes, Centrarchidae. The transcript has 4 exons.